Passer domesticus (house sparrow) is the source of this 5277-nucleotide long non-coding RNA. RefSeq lists it as uncharacterized. The record is from RefSeq and is a predicted model, not a curated record. The transcript is spliced from 5 exons. NCBI's taxonomy places the organism in Eukaryota, Metazoa, Chordata, Aves, Passeriformes, Passeridae.
AUGAGGGACUCUAUUUAAUAAUAUAUGCUUUACAGGUUUUAUGUAAUUACCUGUCAUCACCUUGCUGCAUUCAAGUUGUAUUCCAUGUUGAUGGGCUUGUAAAUAUUGAAGUAGAAAGACUGAAAGAUUUUCUUCAUGUGAAUGAGGAGACUGGACAUUUUUCGGCACAGACAAUCCUCCCUGUAUAGGUAGAUGAAAAAGUGGGAAGCAUGUAGCCGUUCCGGGUCAGUUUAGACAAUCCAUCCAUACCUGGAGAUUCUAAUGUUAGUCCCUUGGUCAUGACAACACCGUUUGGUUCAAGGUGCUUUGCUAUCUUAAGUGAAUCUAUCAAGUGCUAGUAGCAUACAGCACAGAGCAUGAGCAGGAAAGCCAAAGGAGCACAAUCCUACAAGACCUAUCUCCUACCUUACAUGAUCCUGACUGAAGCACAGUUCUCUCUCCUCCCUGAAAUCUCACCAUAUCUACCCAAAUCCACUGUGUACUUUUCCUGCUGGGAAAUAUGGGAAGCUAAGUUUAGGAUAAAUCCUAUUUAUUUGUGCUUCUGGCCUAGUACUUUUCUACCUGUGGCCCUACAUUAACAUUUGCUGAUGAAUCAUCAUCUUUAGCUAGUGGGAAUAUUCCUGUGAUCUCAGAGUAUCUAAGUUCCCUACCUCACCUAAAUUUAUUCAUGUAGUGACUGUGUCUGAUGUCCUAAGAUGAUUCUUUCUUGUCUAGGCAGAUGCCAGCUAUUAGACAAGAUAAUGAAAGAGUAAAACACUUGGUUGUUCCUGUAAAAAUUAUACAUCAGAUGUCGUGAUGUGACCUCCUUUGUGUGACUUUCUGAGGGAAGAAUACAUAAGCACUAGGUUUUCUCUACCACUGGGAUUUUUCAUCUAGCAAGAACAUUACAGAUAAAAUGGAGCACAGAGCCCACAUGAAGAGAUCUCCAUCCACAGGGCUAUCAUAGGUCUUUGACAUGGAAUUCCCCAAGCUUUGCCCAAAUGAGAACCAGCCCAUGCUUUGACAUUCCCCAUCUUCUGGACGAAAUUCAGUUAUAGCACAGUGCACUUCUAGAUCUACACAGUUGGCUAUUCCCUAGAUCUUUAAGUUACUUCAUUUACUUUAAAAGAUAUUGCCAGAAAUUUAUAUAAAUUAUGUACUCCAGCCCAGUGCAGAGAGCUAUAUGGUCUGUAAAUAUUUUUUUUAAAAUUAUAUGUUUUCUCUGCUGAUUCAAAGGGGGAAAAAAGUAACUAACACAAAAUGUAGGAUAUAAACAUAUCACCCCCAAAUUUACAGAACUUACUUUAAAGGAAAUGUAAUCCUAAUGGCUGUGAAAAGUACAUGAUAAUUGAGAGGCAUUCAUGUUGAACAACAUGCUAGGAGAGUGCUUUUGGAGACUGGGAAAAGAUCCCUUUAUAUUAGAACAGAAAGCUUCUUUUAUUGAAAGCUUAUGUUGUGAUAGUGUCUAUAGUUAAUUUAUUAAAACACUAAGAAUGUUUUAAAAUGUUUUCCCAAGAGGAAUUAAAUUAAUUUUGUUUAGGUUUUAUUUUUCACUUUUGUGUGAGUUACUUUGACAGUUUCAUGGACAGAAAUGUUUUGAUUAUUCAGGAAACAAGUAUAGUAGAAACCACUGAUGCACAUAGUCCCUCAAAUUGCCUGUCCAACAGGAUUUGAUACUGUCAAAUAUCCUGAAUGAUGAAUGGGUAAGGGUAUCAUUUAGUCUCCAAGUACCUGAGUCCUCCAUUUCUACUGUAGCAGUUCUUUUCUUAUAUGGGAGCUAAAUGGAGAUCAUAAAAUCAUUUAAGAUAAGCCACCAAGUAGUCAGGAAGGAAAUUAUCUUUUCUGCUGUUAUUUUGAAUUUAAAUUGCUAUGACUGAGAAAAUUAGUAUCUUGGAUUCCACUACCAACUCCUUAAGAGAGUAUUUUGCAGGGGGUAUUUUUUUUUACAAGAUGAUAUCCCAUUUUCCAAAGCAAAACAAACCAAAACAUUUGAAGUCCUCAUUGUCUUUAUAAAAACAUUCACAUUUAUUGCUUGGAAAAGUUACAAAUCCAUGUAGUAUUUCUUGAAAAACUGAAAAGCGUGCUUGACCUUGAAGAAUAGAAGUCAGCAGGAGUACAGAAGCCAGGUAGCCUUUGCUUUAUGAUUUGCAAAAUUUUCAGCGGCUUGCCAAUACCUGGCCAUAUUUCAUUACUACCAUGUCUGCCACAACUCACCUUCUCAGAAAUACUGCCCUGGUCCAUCCUCCUAACCAUAAUGAUGAAAUAACUGGCUAAUUUUACUAUUGGUGACUUAGAGUAAGCAAAACUUUUUGCCAAAUUACAAUAAGACAGCAAAACAGAAUAAUAUGCCAUCCUUCUAAGAGAUAUAUUUGGUUGUAAUUACCUGGGUAUUUGAGGUCUAAGUAAGCUCUUGGAUACCUUGUGGUUAACUGGAACAUACCAAAGAAAAGAUCAGGCAAACCUUUAAAGAUGAGAUUGCUCAAAAGCACAGAAAGAAAGUAAAAUGACUCCUCAUUCCAAUAAUAGUUGGCUAGUUAAAUCCCUUGUCUAAAUAAACAGCAUAUACUCCUGACAGUUCAAAGACAAACAAAACCAAACAAAAAACAACCAAACAAAAAAACCUGAAGUAUUUCUGUGGACUUUCUUAUUUUCUUAAAUAAUCAAAUUAAGUCAAUACACCAUCAAACAAUUAAAACACAGCACUCUACAAGACACUGUAAUAAUUUCCCCAGAGAAACACAGCAUUUUUCUGUAUAAAACACAAUGGGGCGGGGAAAAAAGAGAGAGAAAGAACGUUCAAGAAAAAAAAAACCCUCUAAAUGAAAAGUGACAGCAAGUCAACCUGCUGCCUCUGCUGAAGUGUGGUGUUUAUUUAGCUACAAAUAUGUGAACAAUUCACUAGCAGGAUGGCCACUGAAGAAGGAGGCACGGUCAGGAGAAGAAGUUUGCUGCAGGCCAUUUGUGACAUCAAUGGUACUAGGGCUUCUAGUUCAGCAAGGUUCUCUGCCCCAGGUCUUCUGGAAACACUGGCUGAUCUCUGCAGAGAAACCUAUUGAGAUAAAAGGCAGUUUCCACUUCAGUGUAUGAAGUACACCAUCAGUGUCCUGAUUAGCUCAGGCUAACUCAUUCCCUGUACCUCUAGUCAAACAGUGAAAAUUGUACUUUGCAUGUAGCUGGGCAGGUGAAUGGGAGCCUGCACUUCAACCAACACAGCCUGCUGUGACCCCUGAGCAGCCGUGCCCCUACUGGGGAGCCUGUGAAACACCUUAACUGGCCUGUUUGAGCAAUUACCUUUAAGCAUUUUAUCUGAACUAGCAACUUUUAAAGCCUAUUAGGUACACUGCUCAAAUCCUUUCUUAAACCCAAACACUCCUCAAAGGUUGUGGUUUGCUUAGUACAUUUGCAUCCUGGAACAAGCACUGGAGUGGCAACCGAAUGAGGAUGGUCCAAAUCUGGCUAGUAAUCAAUUACAUCAAAGUAAUAAAAAUAGAUAUAUCUUGAAAGCGCUCCAGAGAAUCCUUUGAUGUCUCCUUUAGUAAACACAAUAGGUCAAAUUACCUACUGCUGAAAACUGCUGUUAAGAGCUUGGUCAUUUUCAGUAACAGUGCAACCCAUACAGACAGCUUGCAGUCUGAAGGCAGCUUGAGGGGACAAAAAACAGGUAUAACAAGGAAAAGCAACCACCUCCAAAGGGAUAGGGUAAAGUAGGUCACCAUUAAACACCUUUUUGACAAGGUCUCCAACCGAUGUACCCUGGCCUCCUGAAACUGAUAAAAUUCCUGAGUUGCUCCAGAGAGGUGGUUUUGCCUGCUGAAUUCAGCCUGUGUUACCUUAUUUUAGCAACAGUGGAUAAUUGCUUAGCCCUUCACACCCCUCCUAUUUUGCCAUGUAUGUUUAUAUUAUCUAUGUUUACUGAGGCAUGUAAAGAAUUCACACAAAAGAAGGAAACAGAGGUAGUUAGUAAUUGCACGACAACAAAAAAUUUCAGUUUUCAAAUUUGGCAUCAUAAUUACACCACGCACAUGCUCAUCUGACUUUCAUGCUUCAAUAUCCAUAGAGCUGAAUCAGCACAGAAAAUGAACAUUCUUGUUGACAAAAACUGCUGGUGACUUGACAGGGAUAUAUUUUUCAUCUAGAUCAAAUGGUAGUUUUGCUGGGGAAAAAAAAGAGGGAUACUCUGUAUGCAUACUAAUAAAUAACCUGUAAUGAUUUUCAGAGAUUCUUUUGCUUAGGUCUGUGAAAAAAACAUAAAUUUUAUGUUGUCAUAUGUUUAUUCUUGUAAAAUAGCUCUUAUUUUCUGGAAGGAUUUCAAGAGAAGAGAAAAAUUUUUAUACAAAAUCCUGAAGAGCAGAAGAGUUUGUGGGGGACUUCAGUCUAUUUAUCUUGUUGUGAGUUACUGAAGUGUUCUAUGCUCUUGUGAACCCCACAUGACUGUGCAAACCAUGAAAACUUAGCAUAUCAUUAUUCAACAAAGCACUCCAGGUUUUCACUGGGAGUCGUAUGUAGACUUAAAUACUAGGUUUUCCAACUCCCUACACAAAGCUGCAACAACUUGGAUUGAUGGCAGGACUCAGCAUUUUGCUCCAUGAGACGAAAAGCACUUCUAAUUCAAAGGAAAUAUGGAUUAGCUUGGGAAUUGUUUCAGUGAAAAUGUCAGAGAAUCUGUUGAAGAAACAAUGGGAGAUGAAGAGCUGGCCAAGCUGAAAUAUCAAGAAAGUUACCUUUUAUCUGGUAUUUCUUAAAAACUAACUGCUGCCUAACACACUGACCUUGGGCUUCACUCCAGAUGUGAAAGGGGGUUGCCUACCGCUUCUUCCUAACAGAAGGAGACAUAAUGGUCACAGAUGCAACAGCCAGGGAACGAAGCAUGCACUGACAAGGCUGUAACUGUGACCUAGUCAUCUUCACGGAAGGGGAGAAGCCCCCAGCUACACAGAAAGGCCUGCUGACUUUGGAAUUUGAAACAGAUCAAGUAGAACUCAAUGGCAUCCCCAAACCUGUUUUUUUCCACUGUCCUGGAAUGGUGCUUGGCAAAUUCACCCUUUUUUUUUUUUGUUGUUGUCCUGUUAAAAAAAAAUAAAAGGGCCAAUGGAACAAUCUUAUUUUAUCAGAUUUCUCCUGCGAUCUUAUUCUUUGUGGUAUCCACUGAAUCAAAAGGGUCCUCAAUAAGAUACAUGAAGCAUCCUGUAUGGAAUGCUGCUUGAUGUCCAGGAUGCUUGGUUGCUCCACCUGUUUUGAAGGCAGGUAAUAUAGCAUGCUCCAAAUAUAAAACUGGCUGGUCUCGGGCAAGCAGAAGUG